RNAcentral lists this ribosomal RNA (479 nucleotides) under uncultured bacterium. RNAcentral's name for it is "partial 16S ribosomal RNA". It matches the Rfam family "Bacterial small subunit ribosomal RNA", at positions 30 to 507 of the family's 1533-position model. The record is from RNAcentral.
UGAACGCUGGCGGCGUGCUUAACACAUGCAAGUCGACCGAAGCACUUUAUUUGAUUUCCUUCGGGACUGAUUAUUUUGUGACUGAGUGGCGGACGGGUGAGUAACGCGUGGGUAACCUGCCUUGUACAGGGGGAUAACAGUUGGAAACGGCUGCUAAUACCGCAUAAGCGCACAGCAUCGCAUGAUGCAGUGUGAAAAACUCCGGUGGCAUAAGAUGGACCCGCGUUGGAUUAGCUAGUUGGUGAGGUAACGGCCCACCAAGGCGACGAUCCAUAGCCGACCUGAGAGGGGGACCGGCCACAUUGGGACUGAGACACGGCCCAAACUCCUACGGGAGGCAGCAGUGGGGAAUAUUGCACAAUGGGCGAAAGCCUGAUGCAGCGACGCCGCGUGAGCGAAGAAGUAUUUCGGUAUGUAAAGCUCUAUCAGCAGGGAAGAUAAUGACGGUACCUGACUAAGAAGCACCGGCUAAAUACGUG